GCGUUGUCCGGAAUUAUUGGGCGUAAAGAGCUUGUAGGUGGCUUGUCGCGUCUGCCGUGAAAACCCGAGGCUUAACCUCGGGCGUGCGGUGGGUACGGGCAGGCUAGAGUGUGGUAGGGGAGACUGGAACUCCUGGUGUAGCGGUGAAAUGCGCAGAUAUCAGGAAGAACACCGAUGGCGAAGGCAGGUCUCUGGGCCAUUACUGACACUGAGAAGCGAAAGCAUG
RNAcentral lists this ribosomal RNA (226 nucleotides) under uncultured bacterium. RNAcentral describes it as "partial 16S ribosomal RNA". It matches the Rfam family "Bacterial small subunit ribosomal RNA", at positions 538 to 763 of the family's 1533-position model. The record is from RNAcentral.